Camelina sativa (false flax) is the source of this 390-nucleotide non-coding RNA. Lineage: Eukaryota; Viridiplantae; Streptophyta; Magnoliopsida; Brassicales; Brassicaceae. The record is from RefSeq and is a predicted model, not a curated record.
AUAUGCCACAACUAUAUAUUAAAAAAACCCUAGUUUAUAAUCGAUUUUCCAGUCUCCCACCACCGUAGUCUUCCUUUUGCCGACACCAUCUCUAUCACUUCUUCACCCGUUGCUCAUGAAGUGUUCCUUGUUGAGAGAUUCUGAAGCUUCAGUUUCAGUUUUAUGUUAUGGAUCGAAGGUGACAGAACUCGUCGGGACAGAUAUAUAUAUGGUUAACGGAUAUCAAGCUUCACCGGAUGGAGAGAUCGAACGUCGUACGCCGUCGCCUCACCACUUUGUCGAAAACCCUAAAUGUAGAUGGGUUUGGGUUGUAAUUUUAGUUGGACUUGUUAUAAAUUUUUUUUAGGUCUGUAAAUAAAUUUGAGCCCAUUAAUUUUUUUUUUGGUCUUA